CUGCCACAGCUCCGUCCUCCACCAUGUCCAACACAGCAGAACUGCGUAGAAGCUUCCCAUCUGCAGCUUUGGGUCCUUUAUGUUUGUCUUCUCCUGACAUCAAUUGGUACUGGGGGACUUAGGCCUUGCGUUGUCACCUUUGCUGCUGACCAAUUUGACUUGAAAAAAUCUAAACAUGAUCAGUCUCAAAGUUGGAAUUUCUACAACUGGUAUUAUUUCUGCAUGGGAGUGGCUACACUUGCUGCUCUAACCCCCUUUAUGUUUGUCUUCUCCUGACAUCUAUUGGUGCUGGAGGACUUAGGCCAUGCGUUGUCACCUUUGCUGCUGACCAAUUUGACUUGAAAAAAUCUAAACAUGAUAAGUCUCAAAGUUGGAAUUUCUACAACUGGUAUUAUUUCUGCAUGGGAGUGGCUACACUUGCUGCUCUAACCAUAGUAGUCUAUAUCC
This 447-nucleotide long non-coding RNA is filed under the name Nicotiana benthamiana. RNAcentral describes it as "long non-coding RNA (NBEN_LNC033401)". Lineage: Eukaryota; Viridiplantae; Streptophyta; Magnoliopsida; Solanales; Solanaceae. The record is from RNAcentral.